This is an RNA transcript of Cheilinus undulatus (humphead wrasse), 1534 nucleotides long. It is a transcript of the gene named alcohol dehydrogenase class-3-like, with no coding region annotated. Lineage: Eukaryota; Metazoa; Chordata; Actinopteri; Labriformes; Labridae. The record is from RefSeq and is a predicted model, not a curated record. The transcript has 10 exons.
AGGUUAGCUAGACUGCUUAAACAGUCAUCUUCUAUAAUAGUGAAGUCAGUUUCAAUUUAUAGGCUACAGUUCCGCUUUGAAUGAAGUUAGGAACUUGUGCGCAACUAAUCUCUAUAAUCUGGAAAAUGUAACUGAAAGACAUCAGACGAACAUGUCAACAGCCAGUCAGGUGAUCUACUGCAAAGCAGCUGUUGCAUGGGAGCCUGGACAGCCCCUGUCCAUUGAGAAUGUGGAGGUGGCUCCACCUAAGGCCCAUGAAGUGAGAAUCAAGGUUGUUGCCACAGGUGUUUGUCACACGGACUGGCAAUAUCUGUAUGAGUGUGAAAAAGGGAUGAAGUUCAGACCCUUCCCACUGGUUCUUGGCCAUGAAGCUGCAGGAAUAGUGGAAAGUGUUGGGCCGGGAGUGACCAAGUUCUCACCAGGUGAUCAGGUUAUUCCUCUUUUUCUGCCACAGUGUCAGGAAUGUGAUCGAUGUAGGAGUCCAAAAACAAAUCACUGCAGAAAGAACUGGGAAAACACACAAAGCGGUGUUAUGGCUGAUGGCACAAGCAGAAUAUGUUGCCAGGAUCAGCAGGUGUACCAGUUCCUAGGUGUCAGUUCUUUCUCCCAGUACACCGUGGUUCCUGAUACCUCACUUACAAAGAUAAGAAGUGAUGCACCGCUGGACAAAGUGUGUCUGUUUGGCUGUGGAGUCUCCACUGGUUAUGGUGCUGCUCUUAAGACAGGCAAGGUUGAAAAAGGCUCCACAUGUGCCGUGUUUGGGCUUGGGGCUGUUGGACUGGCUGCGGUCAUGGGAUGCAAGGCUGCUGGUGCAAGAAGGAUCAUCGGGAUUGAUGUCAACCCUGGCAAGUUUGAGAAAGCCGCGAAGCUUGGAGCAACCGAAUGCAUCAACCCCAAUGAUCACCAUAAACCCAUCCAGGAGGUGGUGCUGGAGAUGACAAACGGAGGGGUGGACUUCGCUCUGGAGUGUGUUGGAAGUCCUUUGGUCAUGACUGCAGCACUUGAGUCAACAACAGAGGCAUGGGGCAUGUGUGUCAUUGCUGGUUGGACGGAGACUGAGUCGAUGAGUGUCGCAGUUGAAAAGAUCCUGAUGGGGCGCACACUGAAGGGGACUUAUUUUGGAGGUUGGAAGAGUGUGCAGGAUAUUCCUAAACUGGUAGAAGAGUACAUGGAACAGAAGUUGAAGCUGGAUGAGUUUAUCACACAUGCACUUCCCCUGGAACAAAUCAAUAAGGCCUUUGACCUCUUGGGUAGUGGGAACAGCCCUGUUCAGUGCAAAGGUGCCAAGUGAGUGUGAUUGCUAGGUGAAUCCAGCUCACUCUGAGGCCAGAUCCUAUAUAUUCUACUAAUGUGGAUGCACAUAUGUGCUACAACAAGCAUCCGUACAGUUAUCAGCCUGUGGUAAAAAGAGGCCUACCUUGAAGUUGCUUCCUAAUCAGAUCAUGUUUCUACAUUGCAUGUCUUUGCAAUGAUAUUUUUGUAUAACUGAAGAUAUUUGUUGGUGCUCUUCUAAAUAAAACCAUACUGAAGUGAA